This 1073-nucleotide long non-coding RNA is filed under the name Parus major (Great Tit). RNAcentral's name for it is "lncRNA (ENSPMJG00000004961.1)". The record is from RNAcentral. Lineage: Eukaryota; Metazoa; Chordata; Aves; Passeriformes; Paridae.
AAAAAAUCUCAUUGCAACACAAGAAGGCAAAAUAUGCUAAGAAAUGUAUUCCUAGUUACUGUGAGCAGGCAGCACUGGGGGCUGACAAGUCCUGGAAAGCUGUGUGAAAUGACUUGGACCUUUCACAUCUGUCCUUAUUUCAUCUGUCCCCAGCGAAAAAAAGAGAGACAUGGACUAGAAUAUGUUCAUCACCAGCCACUACCUUCCCUGUCCAUCCAGUAGGAUUGACUGAAAAUGGAAGUGCCUUAUUUGGAUGCAUCAGGCUGAUAGCUGUGGCAUCUGAAGACCUUGAUGCACAGUCCAUAUCAAGCUGGGAGGGUGACAAUCUUCAGAGCUGUGUCAAGGCUUCUAACACUGCAAGGAAAAUUGGUGACAAGAUGAUGGAUCGGUUUCUCCACAUUGGCUUGUUGAUUCAACAAAACUUAAGUGGAUAUUGGCAUUUGUCAUUCAGCUUUGGACCCCUACAGACUCCUGCUGCUGAUUAGUCAAAUACUUCACCUCCUUGUAAUUAUUGUUUCAACAGCAGAGGCUCCAAGACAUUCUCCUGAGAACAAACUUUUACAGCAUAACUGCAAAGAAGUGCUACUUAGUACCAGUUGAGUGAGAAGUAAGCACAUGGGAAAAUGGAAGCAAUCAAUGGCAGUGUUUGCAACGGCUUAACCCUGUUGGCCCUUGCAUGUUAAUAUAUUAUUUAUGCAUUGCUUCCCCAGCAGGAAGAAAUUAGAACGAUUAGCAUUUUUUAUUUGUCUGCUGAAAAACACAAAUUGGAAAAAUGUUUGCUUGUAUUUUUGUUUAUUCCCUUUGAAAAGCUGUGAGGUCAGGACAAUCUCUCAUCAUUUGCACUUAUUUCCCAAGCUUUGCUUCCACAUUUUCUAAUCAUCUAGACACAGUCUGUUUUAUGAAGGUUAAAGGAAACUUAGUCAGGUAAAAGAGGUUAAAAUGGAAGAGUCUUUUAACUAUAAUAAUAGAGAACAAAUACACUUGCAUGCACUGAAAUGCAUCAUGUCCUUCCACUGAUGGUAUUUCACUAUUAAAAAAAUAAAUCCUCCAUGGCUGUAGCUGAGAUUAUAUAG